UGUUAGAGAGUUCACAGCUCGGUAAAAAAAAAUUCUAAAUUUUGUAGUUUUUUUUCGGCAAUAUUUAUUUGACUAGAUAUUAAGAAUAAAGUGAUAUUUUUUUACAACUAAUUUAAGCAAAAAGUGAAAAACACAAUCAACUAACAAAAGACAGUGAAAAGAAAACAACAAAAAUGUUCGUGGGGCAGAGAACUCACAGCUCGAAAAAUAAUAAAUGCAACAAUUAACAGCUCAACACCAAUCAAAUACCGCGAAAAAUGUUUGUUUGUUACGAAACUAUUUAUUAGUCCAGUUAACAAUAUCUACCGAUCCAACAGACUCUGGGGUCUCACUUUAGAUGGCAGUAGGUUUUCCUCGGGGUCCAAUGGAUGCUGGAUCAUAGACGACUAAUACAACAAUCAAUCAACACCAAUCAAAUAACGCGAAAAAUACUCUGGGGUCUCACUUUAGAUGGCAGUAGGUUUUCUUCGGGGUCCAAUGGAUGCUGGAUCAUAGACGACUAAUACAACAAUCAACACCACCCGUUCAGCAUUAAACAAUAAUCAAAAAAAAAACUGCGAAAAAGACACUAUAGAGUUGUUCCCACAGCUGGCAGGAGGUCGUCCUUGGAGUCUAACGGAUGUACAAUCGGAUACACGGUCAAACACGUUCACGAGUGCGAACUACAUAUACUAAACACACUAUACUAUAUUUUGAUACUAAUAAUUAUAUAUUUUUAUACCAAAAACAAA
This 731-nucleotide small RNA is filed under the name Drosophila pseudoobscura pseudoobscura. RNAcentral's name for it is "GA31414". Lineage: Eukaryota; Metazoa; Arthropoda; Insecta; Diptera; Drosophilidae. The record is from RNAcentral.